This 732-nucleotide ribosomal RNA is filed under the name uncultured bacterium. Its description in RNAcentral is "bacterial SSU rRNA". It matches the Rfam family "Bacterial small subunit ribosomal RNA", at positions 8 to 716 of the family's 1533-position model. The record is from RNAcentral.
AGAGUUUGAUCAUGGCUCAGAACGAACGCUGGCGGCGUGCCUAACACAUGCAAGUCGAACGAGAAAGUCGUAGCAAUACGAUGAGUAAAGUGGCGCACGGGUCAGUAACACGUGGAUAAUCUACCUCCGGGUGGGGCACAACCUGUCGAAAGACGGGCUGAUACCCCAUGAGACCACGGGAUCCUCGGAUCCUGUGAGAAAAGGUGGCCUCUUCCUGAAAGCUAUCGCCUGGAGAUGAGUCCGCGCACCAUUAGCUAGUUGGUAGGGUAACGGCCUACCAAGGCCGAAAUGGUUAGCUGGUCUGAGAGGACGACCAGCGACACUGGAACUGAGACACGGUCCAGACUCCUACGGGAGGCAGCAGUGGGGAAUCUUGGACAAUGGGCGAAAGCCUGAUCCAGCGACGCCGCGUGAGUGAUGAAGGCCUUCGGGUUGUAAAGCUCUGUCGGGGGGAACGAAACAGGACAACCUAAUACGUUGUUCGAUGACGGUACUCCCAAAGGAAGCACCGGCUAACUCUGUGCCAGCAGCCGCGGUAAGACAGAGGGUGCAAGCGUUGUUCGGAAUUACUGGGCGUAAAGGGCGUGUAGGCGGCGGAGUAUGUCCGAUGUGAAAUACCUCGGCUCAACUGGGGAAGGGCAUCGGAAACUGCUUCGCUAGAGUGCGAGAGAGGGUGGCGGAAUUCCCGGUGUAGAGGUGAAAUUCGUAGAUAUCGGGAGGAACACCAGAGGC